CCUACGGGAGGCAGCAGUGGGGAAUAUUGCACAAUGGGCGAAAGCCUGAUGCAGCAACGCCGCGUGAGCGAUGAAGGCCUUCGGGUCGUAAAGCUCUGUCCUCAAGGAAGAUAAUGACAGUACUUGUGGAGGAAGCCCCGGCUAACUACGUGCCAGCAGCCGCGGUACUACGUAGGGGGCUCGCGUGAUCCGGAAUUACUGGGCGUAAAGGUUGCGUAGGUGGUUUCUUAAGUCAGAGGUGAAAGGCUACGGCUCAACCGUAGUAAGCAUUUGAAACUGGGAAACUUGAGUGGAGGAGAGGGGAGUGGAAUUCCUGGUGUAGCGGUGAAAUGCGUAGAUAUUAGGAGGAACACCAGUUGCGAAGGCGGCUCUCUGGACUGUAACUGACGCUGAGGCACGAAAGCGUGGGGAGCAAACAGGAUUAGAUACCCCUGUAGUC
Molecule: ribosomal RNA, 439 nt
Filed under: uncultured bacterium
Lineage: Bacteria
Description: partial 16S ribosomal RNA
Rfam family: Bacterial small subunit ribosomal RNA
Source: RNAcentral